GUAUCUGUAGUGUUAUCUUGUAGGCGUGGCGGUAUCUGUAGUGUUAUUGUAGGCGCGGCGGUAUCUGUACUGUUAUCUGUAGUGUUAUCUGUAGUGUUAUCUGUAGGCGCGGGCGGUAUCUGUAGUGUUAUCUGUAGUGUUAUCUGUAGUGUUAUCUGUAGGCGCGGCGGUAUCUGUAGUGUUUAUCUGUAGGCGCGGCGGUAUCUGUAGUGUUAUCUGUAGUGUUAUCUGUAGGCGCGGCGGUAUCUGUAGUGUUAUCUGUAGUGUUAUCUGUACUGUUAUCUGUAGGCGCGGCGGUAUCUGUAGUGUUAUCUGUAGGCGUGGCGGUAUCUGUAGUGUUAUCUGUAGACAAGGCGGUAUCUGUAGUGUUAUCUGUAGGCGUGGCGGUAUCUGUAGUGUUAUCUGUAGGCGCGGCGGUAUGUUAGUCUCCCCACUAACCACCUCCUAAGUGCUUCUAAUAUCACCUCUUCAGUACUCUUUCAAUCUCCUCUUCGUUUUCCUCCUCCUCUCUUUCCUCUCUUCACAGUGACUUUCA
This is a non-coding RNA of Salvelinus sp. IW2-2015, 535 nucleotides long. The record is from RefSeq and is a predicted model, not a curated record. Lineage: Eukaryota; Metazoa; Chordata; Actinopteri; Salmoniformes; Salmonidae.